RNAcentral lists this ribosomal RNA (327 nucleotides) under uncultured eukaryote. RNAcentral's name for it is "partial 18S ribosomal RNA". It matches the Rfam family "Eukaryotic small subunit ribosomal RNA", at positions 1470 to 1796 of the family's 1831-position model. The record is from RNAcentral.
CCCUUAGAUGUUCUGGGCCGCACGCGCGCUACACUGACGAAUGCAACGAGCUUAUAACCUUGGCCGAAAGGUCUGGGUAAUCUCCAAAUUUCGUCGUGAUGGGGAUAGAUUAUUGCAAUUAUUAAUCUUCAACGAGGAAUGCCUAGUAAGCGCAAGUCAUCAGCUUGCGUUGAUUACGUCCCUGCCCUUUGUACACACCGCCCGUCGCUCCUACCGAUUGAAUGGUCCGGUGAAGCGCUCGGACCGCGGCCUCUUGACGGUUCGCUGUCGAUUGGCUGUGGGAAGUUCGUUAAACCUUAUCAUUUAGAGGAAGGAGAANUCGUANCA